CGGACGGGUGAGUAAUGUCUGGGAAACUGCCUGAUGGAGGGGGAUAACUACUGGAAACGGUAGCUAAUACCGCAUAACGUCGCAAGACCAAAGAGGGGGACCUUCGGGCCUCUUGCCAUCGGAUGUGCCCAGAUGGGAUUAGCUAGUAGGUGGGGUAACGGCCCACCUAGGCGACGAUCCCUAGCUGGUCUGAGAGGAUGGCCAGCCACACUGGAACUGAGACACGGUCCAG
Molecule: ribosomal RNA, 232 nt
Filed under: uncultured bacterium
Lineage: Bacteria
Description: partial 16S ribosomal RNA
Rfam family: Bacterial small subunit ribosomal RNA
Source: RNAcentral